UUCAUUAUCAGAUCUGGGUUACCAUCGUCUUCCACUCUUCUCCACACCAUCGCCGCACCAUCACCACACCUCCGCCGACGCCGUCUCCACUCGCCACUCGCCGCCGCACGUCGCUGCUCUCCUUCGCCGUCCAGCGUUGCCGUCCAGCGUCGCCGUCCAACACCACUGCCCUCCGACGCCGUCCAAUGCUGUUUCCCUCGGUCGCGUCCACCCCGUCGCCUCCAGCUCCGUCGCUGUCGUCUCACUUUACCUCUCCAAGGCCGACGGAUUAGAGCCUCCUCUCCUCAACUCCACCGUAUAUUUAUUUCUAUCCCGAUUUUCUGCCGAACCCUAGGGUGAAAGAUGAGGUUUGUGUUUUGCUCUCUUGGAGGGUGGUGCUGUGAAGGUACUGAAGACUCAUAAGUAUGAAUUUGAGGCAUCUAACAAAAUCAAGAACGGAACAAAAGAGUCCAUUACCAAGCUUGUCUCUGACUUGAAUAGUGCAAAGUUGGAGUCUGACGUUGGUUUUUGUGUUUUUGGCAGUUGAGUAUGAAACCCCAAAGAAUGCCCUGAAUCAGGUGUUGGACAGAUGAUGUGGCGGCUUAAUUUCUUGGUGUUCUUUUGCUGCAUUGUUCUAAACAACAGUUAUGUGGUUUAGGCAGCUGUAUUAUCUGACUAGCCCCCAGAGUCAAGUGGUUUCUUUCUCUAUCUCAAAUAAACUUAUUUCAUAAUUUGGUUCAGACCAUUGAAAAAGCUUGAGGAAUGACUACUACAUUGGGAUGAGUUGUUCCUAAAUGCUAGCAAGUUGAAAAGGAAGGCAUAUCCAUCUCAUAACAAGUUACAUGCUUGCAAUGCAUAUGCUAUAUCAUGUUUUCAGCAUUGAGUUCAGGACUGCCAUAUUGUGGUUUCCUUUGCCAGAUUGAGUUCAUGAUUGCUUUUGUUGUGGUUGCUGGGCUAAAGGGAAACAGAAAAUACAUGCUUAUGCUGGAUGUGUUUUGUUAAUUGGGACAAUAGUUCAACAGUUCUCAUCAAUAUCUUUUAACUAACCAGAAUGUUUGUAACUUGGGACUUAUAUUUAUGAUUUUAAAGUUAAGAAUUUGAUUUGUAUGU
Molecule: long non-coding RNA, 1089 nt
Organism: Ipomoea triloba (trilobed morning glory)
Lineage: Eukaryota; Viridiplantae; Streptophyta; Magnoliopsida; Solanales; Convolvulaceae
Exons: 7
Source: RefSeq, a predicted model, not a curated record